Long non-coding RNA from Homo sapiens (human), 157 nucleotides. NCBI's taxonomy places the organism in Eukaryota, Metazoa, Chordata, Mammalia, Primates, Hominidae. The record is from Ensembl.
AUGAAGGAUGUUAGAGCCUGGGAUGCUGAGGCAUGUACUGUGGGACAAUUAUAGCAAGUUGGUAAAUUCAGCUGACAGAUGAGAUGACAAGAUUACAAGCGCUUUUUGUCAUAAGUUCUUGAAAGAGAAAAAAUCCCAAUGGACAAGCCUCAGGAAG